Long non-coding RNA from Solanum dulcamara, 598 nucleotides. RefSeq lists it as uncharacterized. The transcript has 2 exons. The record is from RefSeq and is a predicted model, not a curated record. Lineage: Eukaryota; Viridiplantae; Streptophyta; Magnoliopsida; Solanales; Solanaceae.
CUAAGCGACUUUGGUAUUUCAAAACUUCUUGGUGAAUAUGAGAGUGAUUUAUACACUAAAACCUUAGCAACAUUGGGUUAUAUUGCACCAGAGUAUGGACUGGAUGGAUUGGUGUUAAUAAAAUGUGAUGUCUAUAGUUACGGGAUCAUGUUGUUGGAAACGUUUACUAGGAGAAAGGCUAAUGAAUUUGAGGGAGCUCUUAGCUUGAAGCAAUGGGUGAAUUAUUCACUCCCAGAGGUAGUAAUGGAUGUUGUGGAUGCCAAUUUGAUAACACCAAUGGAUAAACACUUACAGAAGAAGCUAGAUGUUGUGGCAUCAAUCAUGAAAGUUGCAUUAGAUUACUGUGCCGAAUAUCUAGCAAGAAGGACAAACAUAAAAGAUGUUGUAGGGAUGCUACAGAAGAUCAAGAUUCAACUUCUUGCAUGCUGAGCAUAUUCUCAGAAUCUCUUGUUCCAAAUCACUUAUUUGUUGCAAAUGUUUACUAAAUUGUUGGAUUCAUGUAAAGAUUGUCUUUGUUUUUUUUUUGUUUUGUUUUAGCACUUGAUUCUGUUUUGAAAUGUUGGUUGGUUUCAAUAAAUCUCACGAUUUUCCCUCCACA